GAGGCUAUAGCUCAAGUGGUAGAGCGCAUGCUUAGCAUACCCAAGUGCCUGGGUUCAAUUCCCAGUACCCCCU
RNAcentral lists this transfer RNA (73 nucleotides) under Camelus bactrianus (Bactrian camel). It matches the Rfam family "tRNA". From Rfam's summary of the family: Transfer RNA (tRNA) molecules are approximately 80 nucleotides in length. Their secondary structure includes four short double-helical elements and three loops (D, anti-codon, and T loops). The record is from Rfam by way of RNAcentral. RNAcentral also lists the same sequence under 1 other name. Lineage: Eukaryota; Metazoa; Chordata; Mammalia; Artiodactyla; Camelidae.